GGUUUUAAUAAUCUCAUUCUAUCCUUAACCUUGUAUAUAUUUUUUAGGUUUGAAGUUGAGAGUUAAAUUAUGGAAGUUUUGGAAAACACCUGGGAUCACAAGUGUGAAACUGGAAACUGUUGUGAAGGCAGGACAUAUAGAGGUUGAAGAAUUUACUCCUGAGCAGACACACCAAGAAAUAAGAAUCUGAAAGUGAGGGGACCUGUUUGUCCUGGAUUCACAGACACACCUGGAACUCACAGACUGUUCUGGACUGGUGCAACUUCAAAAGCUUCGUGGGGCCUCUGUGUUUUAUAGCUGGUUGUGUGGGAUGUUUGGUAUUAGUCUGUCAGAAUUCCAGGUAUGUGACAUAUCAUACAGCACAUUUCUAGACUUGCAGUCUUCUGAAAUUGAAGUAUUCUUAUUAUGACAUUUUAUCAGAACGUAAAUGAUGCAAAUGUGAAGUAUGUAUGCAUUGAUGCAAUUGAGAUAACUCUUA
Non-coding RNA from Coturnix japonica (Japanese quail), 478 nucleotides. The record is from RefSeq and is a predicted model, not a curated record. NCBI's taxonomy places the organism in Eukaryota, Metazoa, Chordata, Aves, Galliformes, Phasianidae.